UUCCGAAACAGCCAUGUCCCGAGAGGACCU
Molecule: small RNA, 30 nt
Filed under: Bombyx mori (domestic silkworm)
Lineage: Eukaryota; Metazoa; Arthropoda; Insecta; Lepidoptera; Bombycidae
Description: ovarian small RNA-37184
Source: RNAcentral